Molecule: RNA transcript, 2163 nt
Organism: Rhineura floridana
Lineage: Eukaryota; Metazoa; Chordata; Lepidosauria; Squamata; Rhineuridae
Exons: 6
Source: RefSeq, a predicted model, not a curated record
CAUUCUGCUGUUGCCAGAAGCUGUGUCUGAGCUCUCAUCUCUGCCAUCCCUCCUGUUACCUGGCUGGGUGGCUUUAGAGCAGACUGGUGGCCCAAAAGCUGGUGGCCUCUGUUGCCAAGUCCUCACCCCACUCUGUCUCUAUCGAAGACUGGCUGACCCAGAAAACAGGAGACAGGGGAGCAGAGAGAAAGAAUGGACCCUGGUGUCCUGCUGAAGAGGCCAUCCCCUGUACUGAAGUCUGCAAUGGGAAGGCAGGAGAAGCUUCAGUGCCAUGCUUGGGAUUCGCUGGGGAGGAAGAACUUCUGGCAGGCGGCAGUCCUUGGAGGUGAGAAGAAUCGGAGCCCUGGACAGGAGAAAGGAGGCACAGAAGGGUCUUUUGCUUGAAGUGAAAUUUCCUCUUCCCCCCCCACGUUGCAGCUUCCAUCCUGAGUUCUUGCUUCCUGUUGACUCAUGCCCAGGGGAGGACUGGAUUUUUCAUCAAAGUUGAACCAGAAAUGCUAACAGAAGGACAGAGUGUCACCUUAACACCAGUAGGUGUUGAUCAGAAUAUAUUUAUUAGCUGCAUCUGGUUCCGAGGAACAACUGAUUUGAGAAACAAGAUUUUCACCUAUUACCGAAGUCCAUUUCCUGGGCAGCUAAAUGGACCCGUCUUCACUGACCGGGAGGCAGGGGGCCCAGACUUCUCCCUUCGCAUCACAGAUUUAAGGACAAAUGACUCUGGAACCUAUAUCUUGAGAGUGGAAGGACCUCUGGGAUCUGCAACAAAGGAUACAACCUUAGUGGUCUCAGGUUCUGCUCCAUUGUCUGCAGGAGUCAUUUCUCGGAUCGUUAUUGGGUCUCUCGUUGCACUAACUUUGAUUGGAACCCUGCUUUGCGUCUUUCUCUGUGCCUGGCGUCUGAGAAAUAAGACUUCUACCCAGGACACAUCUGCACCUCCUUUCUGUGAGAAUACUCCCCCUUCUGGCCAGGUCAAGGCUGAAAGCUCCUCUGAUCCCAUAUAUGAAGUAAGUGGAGAUCGCUCAUGCUUCAUCCUUCUCUCAUCGGAAAAGAUAAUCUGAAUCAGCGGGAGCCAAGAAUCACCACCCUGAUAAGUUGCUUGAACAAGUGGACCUUCAACAGAGAGACCAGGCUGUGUAUGAUCAGCUGAAGUGGUAACAGAUGAAUCCACCAAUGUCCAUUCUGCUUCUGACUUGGAGCUUUCUGUCCACGCAGAGGUCCGGGGUUCAGUCCACUGGUUCUCCAGUUAAAAGGAUCUCAUGUAAGGAGCUGGGGAACUCUGCAGGAGUACUUGGAGAGGCAGUUGGAACAAACAGUACCAAGCUAGAUCUAAAUCUGUCUGAAGCAGUAUUCUCUGCCCCCAUAUGGGAAUCUCUCCCUAUAAAGUCAACAGAGAAAUGCAUGACCAUGUUAUCUGUGUGGCCUAUGGCUGAGUCUGCCAAGAGGCAACACAAUUUAUGGCAGCCAGUAGAACUUGGGCUGAUUGGAGUUGUACUCCAAAACAUCUGUAGGGCACCAGGUUGGCAAAGGCUGUCUUAUGGCAAGGAAGGUAAAAAGGAAAUGUUUGGUUGAUAUUUUCAUUUGCCAGCUUUCUUUUUAAAGCCACCUUAUAAUAUGUGAGCUGCUACUCUCCUCUGGGCAGGACCAGCUUUGAAUAAAAUGAAAGCAGCCUGGGUGAUUUUUUUGCUACAGGCAGGGCAGGCCUGAAAGAAUUUACAGCCCAAGUAGAGCAGUAAAAGGUGUCCCUCACUACUCCAAGUCAAGGUACAUAACUGCCAAGGUCAGUCAAGUUAUAUUGGCACCUGGGGCUGCAACAGCAACAACCUACAGACAGUUAUCUUCAGAUCAGCUGUGAGGCUGCUCCGUCACUCUGCCUAAGUGUACGUCCGCUCCUGGCUAAGGGACCAAUUGCCUCCUUUCUUGGUAGCGUAAGACCAUUCUCCAUUGUACGUCAACAUCCUGCAGCUGAGGAUAUAAAUACCAAGGAAAAAUAUAUCUCAAGUUUGCAAUGCUUUGCCCAGGCUUUCCCUGACCCACAGCCCCCAAAUCUCUGUUUUAUCUCCUUUUAUAGGUUUUUAUUGGUAUUAGGUUGUAUUUUUGUUUGAAUGGAUGUUGUUUUCAUAUUGUACAUAGUGUACACCAUUUAGAGGUUUUAAAAAUGUCAAG